GACAUUCUAGGCCAGCACUCUAUUGCCCUCAAUACAUUUCCACUCCAGCACUCCUUUACAAAGGAAGAGCAAGAGGAGGAAGAAGAUGGGAAUGAUUAUAGCAACACCCCAGUCAUGGGGGACUUUUGCGGUGGAAUCUAUAAAGGUGAAAAGGGAGGCUAAAACGGGGGCCCACCAGGAGAAGGGCUCAUCAGACAAGCAAAAGAUACCUACAAGCAACAAUUGUUAAACCUAUAAAGGAGCUGAUCACCAUUCUGAGAUAAGAUCCAGCAUUCUGCUAAUCAUCAGUUUUACUCAGAGCAAGUGCCUCUGUUGACCUUUGACCUCACUCUGACACUGCAGAUUUACAAUCCACAUUAAAAGGAACGUUUGACCACACUUUAUCCACUGUCCUCAGCAUAUAAUUAAAAUUUGUUACACGGUUCCUU
Long non-coding RNA from Hemicordylus capensis (graceful crag lizard), 428 nucleotides. RefSeq lists it as uncharacterized. The transcript is spliced from 3 exons. NCBI's taxonomy places the organism in Eukaryota, Metazoa, Chordata, Lepidosauria, Squamata, Cordylidae. The record is from RefSeq and is a predicted model, not a curated record.